GAUGAACGCUAGCGGCAGGCUUAACACAUGCAAGUCGAGGGGUAGAGGAAGCUUGCUUCCUUGAGACCGGCGCACGGGUGCGUAACGCGUAUACAAUCUACCUUUUACAGAGGGAUAGCCCCAGAGAAAUUUGGAUUAAUACCUCAUAGUAUUUUCGGAUCGCAUGAUUUGAUUAUUAAAGUUCCAACGGUAAAGAUGAGUAUGCGUCCCAUUAGCUAGUUGGUAAGGUAACGGCUUACCAAGGCUACGAUGGGUAGGGGUCCUGAGAGGGAGAUCCCCCCACACUGGUACUGAGACACGGACCAGACUCCUACGGGAGGCAGCAGUGAGGAAUAUUGGACAAUGGGGCGCAAGCCUGAUCCAGCCAUGCCGCGUGCAGGAUGACGGUCCUAUGGAUUGUAAACUGCUUUUGUACAGGAAGAAACACUACUUCGUGAAGUAGCUUGACGGUACUGUAAGAAUAAGGAUCGGCUAACUCCGUGCCAGCAGCCGCGGUAAAG
Molecule: ribosomal RNA, 500 nt
Filed under: uncultured bacterium
Lineage: Bacteria
Description: bacterial SSU rRNA
Rfam family: Bacterial small subunit ribosomal RNA
Source: RNAcentral